UAAAGGAAUGAGAGCAAAAUAAAGUCAUUCUUAGAGGAAGGAACAUGGGAAGAGUUUGUGACCAGCAGGUCUGCUCCACAAGAAAUGCUUCCAGAGGCAGCCUGCAGCAUGUGGCUCCUGACCCCUUCCUUCCAUCACUGCAGCCUCUUGAUUCUGUCCUCACAUCCCCCACCAUUGGCUCUGACCUUUCGCCUCCCUCUAAUAAAAAGUCUGUGAA
Herpailurus yagouaroundi (jaguarundi) is the source of this 217-nucleotide long non-coding RNA. RefSeq lists it as uncharacterized. The record is from RefSeq and is a predicted model, not a curated record. The transcript is spliced from 2 exons. NCBI's taxonomy places the organism in Eukaryota, Metazoa, Chordata, Mammalia, Carnivora, Felidae.